GAUGAACGCUGGCGGCGUGCCUAAUACAUGCAAGUCGAGCGAACAGACGAGGAGCUUGCUCCUCUGACGUUAGCGGCGGACGGGUGAGUAACACGUGGAUAACCUACCUAUAAGACUGGGAUAACUUCGGGAAACCGGAGCUAAUACCGGAUAAUAUAUUGAACCGCAUGGUUCAAUAGUGAAAGACGGUUUUGCUGUCACUUAUAGAUGGAUCCGCGCCGCAUUAGCUAGUUGGUAAGGUAACGGCUUACCAAGGCAACGAUGCGUAGCCGACCUGAGAGGGGGGUCCGCCACACUGGAACCGAGGCACGGUCCAGACUCCUACGGGAGGCAGCCGUAGGGAAUCUUCCGCAAUGGGGCAAAGCCUGACGGAGCAAAGCCGCGUGAGUGAUUAAGGUUCUCCGAUCGUAAAACCCUGUUAUUAGGGAAGAACAAAUGUGUAAGUAACUAUGCACGUCUUGACGGUACCUAAUUAGAAAGCCCCGGCUAACUACGUG
Molecule: ribosomal RNA, 497 nt
Filed under: uncultured bacterium
Lineage: Bacteria
Description: partial 16S ribosomal RNA
Rfam family: Bacterial small subunit ribosomal RNA
Source: RNAcentral